This is a long non-coding RNA of Nematostella vectensis (starlet sea anemone), 1702 nucleotides long. RefSeq lists it as uncharacterized. The record is from RefSeq and is a predicted model, not a curated record. Lineage: Eukaryota; Metazoa; Cnidaria; Anthozoa; Actiniaria; Edwardsiidae. The transcript is spliced from 2 exons.
UCUAGUCAUAAGAUUGCUUGACAUUCUUGAGGUACUAUUACAAAAAAACACUUCAUCUUUCUUGCCACUACAUUCAAAUGUUGUAUGACAAACGCCUGUUAUGUGUAUUUUCUCUCCAGUGUAUGACCUUAUUGUCAUCUUAGUUGCCUUGAUUUCAGGUUUUUUUUACUAGCUUUUGGUACUCACUCAGGGGUAAGACAUUUACUUAGGCACCCGUAUCCAAUUUGAAUUUGAUCUUUGUUCCUUCUACUUGUGCCUGUAUUAGCCAAUCAAUCAUUUUGUUUCAUGUGUUUUCUGUAUUACACUAGAAAAAGAUCUCUGUCCUUUUCUGUUUCCUUUUGUGUGUUGUCAUAAACAGUUCCGGCACAUUCUUGGUUUGCAUGUGACGUCACGCUCAUUAGCAUAACCACCCGGCGGCCAUGUUGGAAGUCUAAACACAUUUCGCGGCGCAAGUGCAAACGCUCGAAAGUUUGAUAACAAACUCAUCAAAAACAAACAAAAGGGGCGUUUUGUUAUACUGUUGUUAUAGCUGCAUAAAAAUAUUACCCACAUGUAUAUUCACUUGAUGACAAAGGAUUUUAGAAUGAUUAAAUAAUCAAGAAAGAUGUCAGGAAUAAGUGGUUAGUCAAGGGGAUCCAAACUAACAACAGACACCAAAACAGAUUGGUUUUCUGCGAUCAUUUCAUCAACUGAUGCUGUUAUACCUACAAUAUUAUAGACGAGGAGAAAAAUGCGAAUAUGUCCUAUGAGACUAUGGCCUUUAGUGAACAACAAAUUUGUUUUAGAAAAACACAAACUGUUCAUGAGCUGUACCCUAGACACAUUGCAAUAACUCAGACUUCUAAAAGCUUCUUUCAAGGUUUAUUUCACCCAUUGCUUACUCUUGAUCAGAUUGUAUGAAGGUAUUAUUAGCAUCUAAAGGGUGGCAAAUGUUUAAUCUAAGAGCUUGAAUCAAUAAGUAAUUUAUUUUAAAAUUGUCGAAAUCCAUAGCAAUUAAUAUCCAGGAAAGUAAUCCCCAAUUGAUGGUAUUUUGCUUGCUUCUGGUGGUAGAGGACUGUAAGUUGCCAUUAUCACUAUACCAAUCCUGGUUAACACUAGUUAGUUUGUGAUAUAAAAAAAUAGCACAACAAACUGUUCUGUAUUUUUAUUUUUUUAUAAGUUCCAUAAUCCUAAGGCAAUUUUGGAAUGUGCAUUGGUGGAUCCAAGGGAUGGGGGGGGGGCAUGCCACUCUCCCACACCCCUUUCAUAACAUCCUGAUGUGUGGGAUGCUUACAACACUGUUCCUUUGUUCUAAUUGUUUUUAUCUGAGGAGAUGGCUGGUGCCAAACAAAGAUUUUAGCCUGUUAUUGCUUUACUAAAUACCAUUUGUACCUCUUGAGGUCAUUUGCACAAACUAUUUGUGAAUGAAUAACAUCAAUUUAAAAAAAUCAAACAAAUAAAAGAAUGCACUUAAUUUUCUGAAGAAACUGAUUUUUAUCACAUCUACAUUUGUUUUGCACCUUUUGAUCUGGUUUGCACAAACUAUUUUGUAAUUUAAAGUAGAAAAACAAAUGCACUGGGUAGGAAAAUAUGAUGUAGCUCUCUCUACUCCAAUUAAUGAUUCCUAUGUGGUUAUGAUACAUGCCCAUAGACUCUCAGAGAAAUGCUUAUUAAGUACUGCACUUCCCUCACUUUACUAAUAAAAGCCAACAGUGGUAUUUGA